RNAcentral lists this long non-coding RNA (220 nucleotides) under Elaeis guineensis (African oil palm). Its description in RNAcentral is "long non-coding RNA (EGUI_LNC047805)". Lineage: Eukaryota; Viridiplantae; Streptophyta; Magnoliopsida; Arecales; Arecaceae. The record is from RNAcentral.
CUCCUCCUCUUUCCUCCUCCUCUUCUUUUUCUUAUUCUCUCUCUCCUCUUCUUCUUGUUUAUCCUACGUCAGUAGAUCCCUUGUUUUGAAUUUAAUAACUUUGUCUUGUUUGAUUUUUAAGAAAUAAUUGUUGCAGCAAUUAACUGUUGCUCCUUUUUCAAUUGAAUUUAUAUGCAAUUUGGCUACAAGGUGGCUUCUUUAAACAAGAAAACAAUAAGGG